Long non-coding RNA from Tripterygium wilfordii, 1027 nucleotides. RefSeq lists it as uncharacterized. The transcript has 2 exons. Lineage: Eukaryota; Viridiplantae; Streptophyta; Magnoliopsida; Celastrales; Celastraceae. The record is from RefSeq and is a predicted model, not a curated record.
AGAUAUCCUUUAAGUUUCAAAACGCUAGUCAUUUGUGUCCCGAAAUCAUUGUGCCGAUGAAUGAUAGUCAGAAAUUGCUUAUCUGACAACCGGAGCUCCAUGCUGGCUUAUCCACAUCAUUCUUAUUAUUAAAAUAAUGUAUAUUAAAAGGUAAAUAAAUGAAAAAGAAAAGCCACGAUUGAAAUUAGGACAAAAAAAAUUCCUAAAACUUCCAUCAUGCCAUCCGCAAACUCCCUAACGGCACCACCGCACCUGCACACCUGCAUCGCUCAACGUCGAGCUUGUCUCCCUCAAACUGCUCCCUAAAUCCAAGACUCGAGGAGGCAUUCAAAAUUAAUCAAAGUAUACAACUUGGUCCAGGUUCUGCAACUUCUCAAUCUCAGUCAAACCCACAACUACUCUUCUUUUGUCCACAAACACACACAUCUCUCUUCUUCAAUCAUCAACAUCAACCUGAAAAAUGGAAUAGCUGCAACUACCCGGAGAUCUAGACCAGACCCUUUUGUUAGGCCGAGAUUCAAGCGAAGGUUGUCAUCCUCCUCCUUCAGUGUUCUUAUUCUUCGAUCAUUGGUCUUUCUCAAGCAAAUGAACCUUGGGACUAGGCAUUCGAUGACAGAACUCCAACCCUGCCAUUCAGAAACUGCAGAUCUGAAAGACUCAGCCACAAUCCAUGGUUGUGGACAAGAACUGAUGGAGCUAUGGGGAAAGGAUUUUUUUUUUUGUGGACAAGAAUUUUUUAUUUUGUGAUUUUAUUGGAGAAAGGGAAGCUUCGCUGUGGGUUGAACAAGAAGAUCUUUUAUUUUUUUUGUAUUUUUUGAAACAAGAAAUCUUUUAUUUGUUAUUGAGCAAGAAGAUGAAUAAGAAUUGGUGGAGUAAUGAUCGGGAAAAAGGGAAGCUUCUGGACAGAGGUAGAGUGUUUUUUUUUUGUAAAUUGGGGUUUGACCUCUUGAUGAGUUGGGGUUUUUAAUGAUGUGGAUUUUUUUUUUCAAAAAUGACAUGUGUAUGCCAUGUUGGAUUUCAAUUGCCA